This is a non-coding RNA of Pelobates cultripes (western spadefoot toad), 404 nucleotides long. The record is from the annotation of a GenBank genome assembly. Lineage: Eukaryota; Metazoa; Chordata; Amphibia; Anura; Pelobatidae.
UGUAAAUUGAACAUUUUUAAAUUGGACAACAGUCAUAACUGGAGUGCCUCAGUGUGCUUUUUGGGUUAACUUCUCCUUAAUCUGUUUAUAAAUUAUCUUGAAGUGGGCAUUGAAAGUCACGUGUCUGUGUUUUCAAAUGACAUACCACAAGGUAAGAUAAUAGAGUCUGAACAUAAUAUAACUUCUUUACAGAGGAACUUGGAUAAAUUGGGGCACUUGGAAGGCAAGUGGUAGAUGAGAUUGAAUACAGAUAAAUACAUUCAUGCAUUUAGAAAUAAGGAGCAAACAAUCCACUUAUACAUUAAAUGAGCUUGAAUUGUGAAUACCAUCACAUGAAAACAACCUUGAAACAGUGAUAGAUAAACUAGACAACAGUGCACAAUGCCAGUCUGCUAUUACAAAGC